Molecule: ribosomal RNA, 554 nt
Filed under: Cladosporium sp. WZ-2008-0040
Lineage: Eukaryota; Fungi; Ascomycota; Dothideomycetes; Cladosporiales; Cladosporiaceae
Also listed under: 1 other name
Description: eukaryotic LSU rRNA
Rfam family: 5.8S ribosomal RNA (bases 188-341)
Source: RNAcentral
UCCGUAGGUGAACCUGCGGAGGGAUCAUUACAAGUUGACCCCGGCCCUCGGGCCGGGAUGUUCACAACCCUUUGUUGUCCGACUCUGUUGCCUCCGGGGCGACCCUGCCUCCGGGCGGGGGCCCCGGGUGGACAUUUCAAACUCUUGCGUAACUUUGCAGUCUGAGUAAAUUUAAUUAAUAAAUUAAAACUUUCAACAACGGAUCUCUUGGUUCUGGCAUCGAUGAAGAACGCAGCGAAAUGCGAUAAGUAAUGUGAAUUGCAGAAUUCAGUGAAUCAUCGAAUCUUUGAACGCACAUUGCGCCCCCUGGUAUUCCGGGGGGCAUGCCUGUUCGAGCGUCAUUUCACCACUCAAGCCUCGCUUGGUAUUGGGCGACGCGGUCCGCCGCGCGCCUCAAAUCGACCGGCUGGGUCUUUCGUCCCCUCAGCGUUGUGGAAACUAUUCGCUAAAGGGUGCCGCGGGAGGCCACGCCGUAAAACAACCCCAUUUCUAAGGUUGACCUCGGAUCAGGUAGGGAUACCCGCUGAACUUAAGCAUAUCAAUAAGCGGAGGAA